Molecule: ribosomal RNA, 253 nt
Filed under: uncultured bacterium
Lineage: Bacteria
Description: partial 16S ribosomal RNA
Rfam family: Bacterial small subunit ribosomal RNA
Source: RNAcentral
UACGGGGGGGGCAAGCGUUGUUCGGAAUUACUGGGCGUAAAGGGCUCGUAGGCGGCUUGUUGCGUCGACUGUGAAAACCCGCGGCUUAACCGCGGGCUUGCAGUUGAUACGGGCAGGCUAGAGUUCGGUAGGGGAGACUGGAAUUCCUGGUGUAGCGGUGAAAUGCGCAGAUAUCAGGAGGAACACCGGUGGCGAAGGCGGGUCUCUGGGCCGAUACUGACGCUGAGGAGCGAAAGCGUGGGGAGCGAACAGG